AUGUGUCCUUAUCAAGGUAAAUACUCAGGUACUGUAGACACCAUGUGUCCUUAUCAAGGUAAAUACUCAGGUACUGUAGACACCAUGUGUCCUCAUAUCAAGGUAAAUACUCAGGUACUGUAGACACCAUGUGUCCUCAUCAAGGUAAAUACUCAGGUACUGUAGACACCAUGUGUCCUCAUCAAGGUAAAUACUCAGGUACUGUAGACACCAUGUGUCCUCAUCAAGGUAAAUACUCAGGUACUGUAGACACCAUGUGUCCUCAUCAAGGUAAAUACUCAGGUACUGUAGACACCAUGUGUCCUCAUCAAGGUAAAUACUCAGGUACUGUAGACACCAUGUGUCCUCAUCAAGGUAAAUACUCAGGUACUGUAGACACCAUGUGUCCUCAUAUCAAGGUAAAUACUCAGGUACUGUAGACACCAUGUGUCCUUAUCAAGGUAAAUACUCAGGUACUGUAGAUACCAUGUGUCCUCAUCAAGGUAAAUACUCAGGUACUGUAGACACCAUGUGUCCUCAUCAAGGUAAAUACUCAGGUACUGUAGACACCAUGUGUCCUCAUCAAGGUAAAUACUCAGGUACUGUAGACAC
Molecule: long non-coding RNA, 591 nt
Organism: Oncorhynchus keta (chum salmon)
Lineage: Eukaryota; Metazoa; Chordata; Actinopteri; Salmoniformes; Salmonidae
Exons: 5
Source: RefSeq, a predicted model, not a curated record